RNAcentral lists this ribosomal RNA (497 nucleotides) under uncultured bacterium. Its description in RNAcentral is "partial 16S ribosomal RNA". It matches the Rfam family "Bacterial small subunit ribosomal RNA", at positions 28 to 507 of the family's 1533-position model. The record is from RNAcentral.
GAUGAACGCUGGCGGCGUGCCUAAUACAUGCAAGUCGAGCGAACAGAUAAGGAGCUUGCUCCUUUGACGUUAGCGGCGGACGGGUGAGUAACACGUGGGUAACCUACCUAUAAGACUGGAAUAACUCCGGGAAACCGGGGCUAAUGCCGGAUAACAUUUAGAACCGCAUGGUUCUAAAGUGAAAGAUGGUUUUGCUAUCACUUAUAGAUGGACCCGCGCCGUAUUAGCUAGUUGGUAAGGUAACGGCUUACCAAGGCAACGAUACGUGGCCGACCUGAGAGGGUGAUCGGCCACACUGGAACUGAGACACGGCCCAGACUCCUACGGGAGGCAGCAGUAGGGAAUCUUCCGCAAUGGGCGAAAGCCUGACGGAGCAACGCCGCGUGAGUGAUGAAGGUCUUCGGAUCGUAAAACUCUGUUAUUAGGGAAGAACAAAUGUGUAAGUAACUGUGCACGUCUUGACGGUACCUAAUCAGAAAGCCACGGCUAACUACGUG